UCCUAUAGUAUGACGCAUAAUUUCAAAUUUGCCAUUUCGUGAAGGUAAUAGGCAUCGGGUGUGUGCUUAACCGAAUUUGUAAUAUGUUACUGCCUCGGUUUUUUUAUAAUCGAGGUAAUCUCCUUUAUUUACUAGCCAAAACACAAUAAGUUUCAUUUAUUGUUCCCAUUUUCCCUCUCGCAACAGAGGCUCUCCUUUAUCACUUUCACAGGUUUCAUUUAUUGUUCCCUUUUUUCCCUCUCGCAGUAGCUGAGCCUCCUCCCUUCUAACUUUCACUCUCUCCAGCCCCGCCGUCUAGCACCGCUGUUGUCUCCGCCUAUCGUCGACGUUGCCGCCACCGGUUGUUCUUGGUGCCACCGUUUCUGCUCUCUGUCGUUGCAGGUCUGGCAUAGUCAAGGUGCCCACAAACUACCUUUAUCUUCCAUUUCGUGCCUUCUCUUUGUCUCUCCAAGGAUUGCCGCCACCACAGUUGUUCUCUCCAAAGGAUGCCUCCACCACCGUCGCUGCCAGAAUUCCUUCACUUUGUGGGUGUCGCCUUCGUCGCUUCCAGUCCGCUGUGAUUCGUUCACUUUUUGGGUGUCGCCUUCGUCCCUGCAGUUGUCAUCGUCGUCGCCCCCUCUGCCAUCGUUGCCCCGUUGUCGUCGUUUCCCCCGCUGUUGUCAUCUCCCUCGUUGCUGUCAUCGCCCCCUCAGUGAAGAAAUGUUUGAGAUCUUUCCCUAGGGGUAAAAAUUAAAGCUUUUUAAAAAUCAAAUUUUGCCCUAAUUCUGAACCAGGUUGAACAUCUAAGAUCUUUGGUAAAAAUCAAAGCUUUUUAAAAAUCAAAUCUUGCCCUGAUUCUGAACCUGGAUGAAUAUCUGAGAUCUUUGGUAAAAAUCGAAGCUUUUUAAAAAUCAAAUCUUGCCCUGAUUCUGAACCACGAUGAAUAUCUGAGAUCUAUGGUAAAAAUCGAAGCUUUUUAAAAAUCAAAUCUUGCCCUGAUUCUGAACCAAGAUGAAUAUCUGAGAUCUUUG
RNAcentral lists this long non-coding RNA (1010 nucleotides) under Vigna radiata. Its description in RNAcentral is "long non-coding RNA (VRAD_LNC015125)". The record is from RNAcentral. Lineage: Eukaryota; Viridiplantae; Streptophyta; Magnoliopsida; Fabales; Fabaceae.